Molecule: ribosomal RNA, 288 nt
Filed under: Escherichia coli
Lineage: Bacteria; Pseudomonadati; Pseudomonadota; Gammaproteobacteria; Enterobacterales; Enterobacteriaceae
Description: partial 16S ribosomal RNA
Rfam family: Bacterial small subunit ribosomal RNA
Source: RNAcentral
GCCCUUAACACAUGCAAGUCGAACGGUAACAGGAAGAAGCUUGCUGCUUUGCUGACGAGUGGCGGACGGGUGAGUAAUGUCUGGGAAACUGCCUGAUGGAGGGGGAUAACUACUGGAAACGGUAGCUAAUACCGCAUAACGUCGCAAGACCAAAGAGGGGGACCUUCGGGCCUCUUGCCAUCGGAUGUGCCCAGAUGGGAUUAGCUUGUUGGUGGGGUAACGGCUCACCUAGGCGACGAUCCCUAGCUGGUCUGAGAGGAUGACCAGCCACACUGGAACUGAGACACG